RNAcentral lists this long non-coding RNA (383 nucleotides) under Nicotiana benthamiana. RNAcentral describes it as "long non-coding RNA (NBEN_LNC029212)". Lineage: Eukaryota; Viridiplantae; Streptophyta; Magnoliopsida; Solanales; Solanaceae. The record is from RNAcentral.
CGAAGAAAUCGAGGAAGAAGACGAAGAUGAAGAAGAAGAAGAAGAACAGCCAAAGCCAGUUACCGAAGAAUCUCGAAUGCGUUCCGAUAGGGUUAAAAUGGAGAGUUUAUUCCGGCGGCUAUCUUCAGAGCGAGUACCUUUACGAGUCCACGAUGUGAUUAUAAAAGGCAAUACUAAGACUAAGGAAUCACUCAUCGAAGUUGAGGUAGAAGCCCUAAAAAAUGCCACAACUGUUCAGGAGUUGCUUGCCUUUACGAGUCCACGAUGUGAUUAUUAAAGGCAAUACUAAGACUAAGGAAUCACUCAUCGAAGUUGAGGUAGAAGCCCUAAAAAAUGCCACAACUGUUCAGGAGUUACUUAAGGCGGCUAGUAUUGCUAAUGCG